This 245-nucleotide ribosomal RNA is filed under the name uncultured Bacteroidales bacterium. RNAcentral describes it as "partial 16S ribosomal RNA". It matches the Rfam family "Bacterial small subunit ribosomal RNA", at positions 89 to 334 of the family's 1533-position model. Lineage: Bacteria; Pseudomonadati; Bacteroidota; Bacteroidia; Bacteroidales. The record is from RNAcentral.
CGUCGACCGGCGCACGGGUGAGUAACGCGUAUCCAACCUGCCCACCACUUGGGGAUAACCUUGCGAAAGUAAGACUAAUACCCAAUGACGUCUCUAGAAGACAUCUGAAAGAGAUUAAAGAUUUAUCGGUGAUGGAUGGGGAUGCGUCUGAUUAGCUUGUUGGCGGGGUAACGGCCCACCAAGGCAACGAUCAGUAGGGGUUCUGAGAGGAAGGUCCCCCACAUUGGAACUGAGACACGGUCCAA